AGGGCUUGACAUACACCGGAAGCGCCGUGAAAGCGGCGUGCCGCUUGCGGCCGGUGAACAGGUGCUGCAUGGCUGUCGUCAGCUCGUGCUGUGAAGUGUUGGGUUAAGUCCCGCAACGAGCGCAACCCCUGCCGUCUGUUGCCACCACGAAAGGUGGGGACUCAGGCGGGACCGCCGGUGACAAACCGGAGGAAGGUGGGGACGACGUCAAGUCCAUCAUGGGCCCUUAUGUCCUGGGCCACACACGUGCUACAAUGGCCGGUACAGAGCGCAGCGAGGCCGCGAGGCGGAGCGAAUCGCUUAAAGCCGGUCCCAGUACGGAUUGGAGUCUGCAACCCGACUCCAUGAAGUUGGAAUCGCUAGUAAUCGCGCAUCAGCAUGGCGCGGUGAAUACGUUCCCGGGCCUU
This 407-nucleotide ribosomal RNA is filed under the name uncultured Spirochaeta sp. RNAcentral describes it as "bacterial SSU rRNA". It matches the Rfam family "Bacterial small subunit ribosomal RNA", at positions 976 to 1382 of the family's 1533-position model. The record is from RNAcentral. Lineage: Bacteria; Pseudomonadati; Spirochaetota; Spirochaetia; Spirochaetales; Spirochaetaceae.